RNAcentral lists this transfer RNA (74 nucleotides) under Candidatus Omnitrophota bacterium. Its description in RNAcentral is "tRNA-Val". It matches the Rfam family "tRNA". From Rfam's summary of the family: Transfer RNA (tRNA) molecules are approximately 80 nucleotides in length. Their secondary structure includes four short double-helical elements and three loops (D, anti-codon, and T loops). Further hydrogen bonds mediate the characteristic L-shaped molecular structure. tRNAs have two regions of fundamental functional importance: the anti-codon, which is responsible for specific mRNA codon recognition, and the 3' end, to which the tRNAs corresponding amino acid is attached (by aminoacyl-tRNA synthetases). tRNAs cope with the degeneracy of the genetic code in two manners: having more than one tRNA (with a specific anti-codon) for a particular amino acid; and 'wobble' base-pairing, i.e. permitting non-standard base-pairing at the 3rd anti-codon position. The record is from RNAcentral. Lineage: Bacteria; Pseudomonadati; Candidatus Omnitrophota.
GGGCGGUUAGCUCAGUUGGUUAGAGUACUACCUUGACAUGGUAGGGGUCACAGGUUCGAAUCCUGUAUCGCCCA